RNAcentral lists this ribosomal RNA (306 nucleotides) under uncultured soil bacterium. Its description in RNAcentral is "bacterial SSU rRNA". It matches the Rfam family "Bacterial small subunit ribosomal RNA", at positions 1123 to 1428 of the family's 1533-position model. The record is from RNAcentral.
AAUUCCAGUUGGGCACUCUAAUGAGACUGCCGGUGACAAACCGGAGGAAGGUGGGGAUGACGUCAAGUCCUCAUGGCCCUUAUGGGUAGGGCCUCACACGUCAUACAAUGGCGCAUACAGAGGGUUGCCAACCCGCGAGGGGGAGCCAAUCCCAGAAAGUGCGUCGUAGUCCGGAUUGGAGUCUGCAACUCGACUCCAUGAAGUCGGAAUCGCUAGUAAUCGCGGAUCAGCAUGUCGCGGUGAAUACGUUCCCGGGUCUUGUACACACCGCCCGUCACACCAUGGGAGUGGGUUUCACCAGAAGUA